Long non-coding RNA from Alligator mississippiensis (American alligator), 5273 nucleotides. RefSeq lists it as uncharacterized. The record is from RefSeq and is a predicted model, not a curated record. The transcript is spliced from 2 exons. Lineage: Eukaryota; Metazoa; Chordata; Crocodylia; Alligatoridae.
UACCCCUCGCCCCCCAUGCUCCUGUGGGAUGCUCCAUCCGCCCCACCAUCGCAGCAUUCACAAGCUGCCUUGUACCUUGAGGUAUUUUGUGAUACAAAUAGAAAUACAUUACGACCUACAGCCCUGCUUGCUUGCACAAAUGUCUAAGGAGUCUAAGGAGUCCCAGACACUACAGACCUGCUACGGAAACUUAAAAACAUAGACCACCUUCCCAGCAACACACUCCUAGCCACCAUGGACGUUACCAGCCUAUAUACCAACAUCCCACACCAGGAUGGCAUCCAAGCCUGCCUUACAUAUCUACAGGAACAAGAUUACAACCCAGAAUACAGACCCAAAGAUAUCACUGAGCUUAUACACUUCAUCCUCACACACAACAAUUUCACUUUUAAUAAUCAACACUUCCUCCAAAUGAUGGGAACAGCUAUGGGCACUAAAAUGGCCCCAUAGUAUGCCAACCUUUUUAUAAGCCACCUGGAAGAAGACUUCCUCAAGAACUGCACCAGCAAACCCUUGCUGUACUUACGAUACAUCGAUGACAUCUUCAUCAUUUGGAGUGAGAACCUGGAAUCUCUGAUUGAGUUCCACCAGAAAUUCAACAGUCACCAUCCCUCCAUCUGAUUUUCUUUAGAAUACUCCAGCACCAACAUCCCCUUUUUAGACACAAGGAUCAGUAUGCAGAAGGGUAAAAUACAGACCACAGUAUACAAGAAACCCACAGACCAACAUACAUAUCUGCACAGAACCAGCAAUCACCCUAAACACACCAAAAAAGCUGUGAUAUACAGCCAAGCCCUCAGAUACCACCGCAUCUGUACUGAAGAGAACACCCAGGAUUGCCACCUCACCAAUCUUAAAAAGGCUUUCACCCAGCAAGGACACUCCUCCAGAGAGGUAGAUCGCACCUUUGAAAGAGCCACCUGGAUACCACGUGAAGAACUGCUGCAGUACAGAAGAAAACUCCCCACAAAUCGCACACCGCUGGUUAUGACCUAUCACCCAUCCCUUGAACCUGUACAGAAAAUCCUCAAAAAAUUGCAACCCAUAUUAGAAAGAGACCCUAUUCUUAAAAAGAUCUUCCCAGAGCCACCCAUCCUAGCCUUCAGACAAGCACCAAACCUCGCCAACCUCAUCACCAGAAGCAAACUUCCUCAAGCCUAGAACACACCAAAAGGAUCCAGACCGUGCCAGGACAAGAGAUGCAAAACCUGCCCCCACAUCUCCACCACCCCCCACUAUUACUACACCCCACAACAGAGCCAUCAGCAUCCCUGGAUCUUACAGCUGCACCUCCAGAAAUGCAAUAUACCUCAUCCAAUGCACCAAAUGCCCUGAUGGAAGAUAUGUAGGAGAGACCAAACAACAACUGCGCACCAGAAUGAACGCACACCGGAAAUCCAUCAAAGACAGAAACACCCAAUUACCGGUGGGGGCACAUUUCUCACAGGAGGGCCACUCUCUCUCCAAUCUCUCAGUCCUGAUCCUCAAGGGAAACUUACACAACACUUCCCAGAGACGAGCCUAUGAGCUCCAUUUCAUCAACCUGCUGGAUACUAGAGAUCAUGGACUAAACAUAGACAUUGGAUUUUUGAUACAUUAUAAUCUGCCUGGCAACUGACUCCCCAGCCCAGCCCAGCCCCUGGCUUCUUUACUUGUCAUUCCAUCCAGGAAGAGCACACACCAACUGCUGAAGCUUCCUUAGCCUGAUGAAGGGUUUUUGAACCCGAAAGCUUGCUUAAUAACUAUUCUCCAACCAUUUGGGUUGGUCUAAUAAAAGAUAUCAAAUUCACCCAAGGAACCUUGUCUGCCUAAGGAGUCCCAGUGAACUCAGAGUUGUUAUUUGCAUGCAUAAAGGUUUUCAUGUCACUUAAGUGUAAAGGACCAGGAGCUUAGGGUCCAAGUGCAGUCAUUAUCACCAUGAACAGUGCGGUUAUUCACAUUAUUAUUGCCACUGCUGCUGUUGCAUCUAAAGGCUUCUAUCACGAAGUAGGCUCUAUUGUAACAGAAACCAUACUAGAUAUAGUGAAACACAGUCCCUUUCUCCAGAAGCUUAAAACUGAAGUUAAAUACAUUGACAGUAUGAGAGGAGAAACAAGGGUUCAGAGAGGUAAAGUGAUCUAUGCAAGAGUGGGCAGCAGAGUGUGCAUAGAGCACAGGUCUCUUGAUUCCCCGUGUAAUGCCUGUCCAUCAAAUGACCUCACCUCCUUUAUAAAUGUAACCCUCUGCGGCAUGCUAGGCUGGGCAAUAUGCUGGAUUCUGGAUCCUCAGGGUGCCAGUAGCCCUGGGAACCCCCUCAGACAGGUCUACUGCCGGAGGCAUCUGUGGGUGGUUGCCAACCGCUGGUCAGCACUCCCCACCCACGCCCUCCACCGCUAACAGUGCCAUGGCUGUCUGCGGGAGCUCACCACUCACAACCACCACGCUCCAACCACCAACAGCACCACCACCAUCUGUGGGAGCUCACCAUGCCCCCCCAGCUUCCAGGGGCAUGCGGCGUUCAUGCCUCCAGUAAAAAGCAUGCAUUGUGCACAGCAUACUUUCCAUCUGAAAAAGCUAUUGCACCCUCUGCAAACUUUUUGAUGCCUUCCUUGCAAAGUUCUUAGGCACAGCUCACCCACUCAGAUGCAGCCAAGCAAGCCUUUGCAGCUGUUACACAGUAAUAAGCGUUUACAGAAUCAGGCUCUAAUUUGGGGUGUGGUACAGUAAGUGAGGGUACUGGAUGAGAAUGAGGUAAGAGACACCUCUAGUUACAGCAGUACCAUCAUCUGCAGGUCUUUUUUAUAAAAAUAAAAAAAAUUGCUAUUGAACAGUUGAGUUUGCUGUGCAGUUGUAAACACAGAUCAUGCUGUAUGGAUUUGGGGACAAAAAUCAUUUUCAUACAUCAGAAUUCAACCAUCUUCUAUUAAUUUUAUCUUCCAUCUCUUUCAGCAGAAUCAAAUUUGAAGUGUAUAGCCACUUUAACAAUUAAAACACCCUUGCUUUUAUAUAAACUAGUUCAUUUUAUCUUCUUUCCCACUGUAGCAUCAGUAGUCUACUGUGCAGCUAGUACCUGUAAAUACAGAUACUAACUGUGCAGUAGAUACUGCACCAUAGGGAUCAUGUAGACACAGACUGAGAGCUAACUUGCUUCCAGUCAGCCACACCAGCAAGGGACCCAGUCCUGGUGCUGCUCAGCUCUUGGCUCCCCCAGAAGCCAGGAGCUGAUUAGCGUGGGGACCAGGUCCCUCUCUCCCCAAUCCUGUUGCAGCACUGUGGGGCUCCUGGCUCCUCACAGGAGCAGGGAGCUGAGCAGUGCCAGGACUGAAGAGCUACCAGUAGGGCAGCUAGCAGCCAGCCCCCAGCUGGUUGGGGAAUCCCUGCCCCGCUGGGCCACACUGCUAGCUGCCCCAUCAGUAGAUCAGGGCAGGGGGAUGGGACUUGCCCUCCCCCACAGCUGUUUCCCAGCCCCAUGCCUCAAUUGGCCAAUGGGGGCACAGGGGAGGAGGCUCUUCCCAGCCCCCUGUCCAGGACACCUCCUGAUGUGUACACUGUCUCCUGAUCCCAUGCACAUGGGGACCAGCCCUGUGCUCCCUGCCAUCCCCUGGGCUAGCACAGGGGGAGCCUUGAGUUCCCCCUGGCUGCUGCAGGAUGGCAGAGCAAGGUGGAAGCAGCCCUCUCUGGACUGCUCCAAUUGGGAACAGAUCUGCUUCCAGGAGGGAGCAGGUGUGACUUGCUCCCCAGUAGGCUUACUGUGCAGUAUUUUUACUGUGCAGUAAGCCUAUUUCAAAUUAACCCAGGGCCAGGGGAGUGCAGGCAGGCCAGACCAGGAAGCUGGGGCAGGGACUGGAAGGUCUCUUCCCCCAUUGCAAGACUUACCAUGUGCCUGGGGCUGGCAAGGCUGCUGGCUUGGCGUGGGCCUCCCCGCCUGCUGGGCUUGUGGACAACAAACAGGUUCCCUGUUGUGUGUGCCCCAAGGCACAAAAUGGCUGUAGGCUUUUAUACUCUGAAGCUAGGGGCUGCCAGAAAGCAGCCCAGCCCUGGAGCAGGAGAGGUAGCCAGUCAGGAGCCCUGGGGCUGGGCUUAGGCUGCUCCCCUAAUGGCUGGGCAGACCCACCCAGCACUAAAGUUAGUGCCAGUUUGAGUCUAUACAUGCACUACUGCACAUUAACUAAUCACCCCUAAAUUUGAUACUUGCAUUUGCAGGUAUCAAAUUUAGUCGCAAUCAACCAUUUUUAUUGUGAAGUAAGGGCACGCACGUGUAGACACACAUGCAUGAGCAACUGGUGCCGCAGCCGAUCCUGCCGACCAGAGGGGAGUGGGAUCGGGUCCCCCCCGUGGCCAAUCGCAAGACGGCCAAUCACUGUGCCCAAUCGCUGCGGCUGCUUUUGGGAGUACAAGGGUGCUUCACUCCCCAGCCAGCACUCGCAGGGGGCACUGGCACUCCCGCCAGCGCUCCCUGCCCAUAGCCUAAGCAGAGAGCACUGGAGCUCUCAGGGGGUGCACUGGAGCUCUCAGGGGGUGCAUGUGCACCCCCUACACAACCACUGCACACAUUUGUACUACACAGUAAGUUGGACUAAUGUUCAUUAACACAUCUUGCGUAGGGGCACCCAAUAUGGAUCCGAAUCUCAGAAUCUAGCCCGCCGUGAGCAUAACAACUUUCAGAAUUUACCCCUUGUUUCUCUGAAUAGACAGAAACAACCUCCAAGUACAAUUAUUUGAUUUAAGAGGCUAAAUUAGUGCCCAGGUUUGAAUGGUCUGACAACAAGAUGAAAGUUAAUUAGCUCUGUUUGCUAAAUUUUUGAAUGCUUGUGAAAAAGCCCGUCUCGUCUUAAGGUAAUUAAUUGCCUUUCGGCUAUUCAAGAUGCUCAUAAUUAUGAGUCUGAAAGUGCUUGUUAGGCCUUCAAUAAAACAAAUCAGGCUUAUAAAACAUUGAAACAUUAUACCACUGAGCCAUCAGGAAAUUCAAAUAGUUCCUAGUUCAAGACUCUCAGAAGUUAUUGAAAAUGCAAAGAAAUGGGGUAUCUGAAUGUGGUUGUGUAGGAGAGAACAGGCUUGUAAAAGCUAAAUAAAAAAAAAUAAAAAGAAGAAACCAAGAAAGAAGGAACCUGUGGACAGAGUCCUCAAAUAGUACUUCAAGGGUAACUGCCUAAUAUUGAACAAAAUGUCUUGCGCUAAACCUUUUGCUUUUUCUGUUUUUUAAUGCAGAUUUGGGUUUAACAAAAUAUUGAGAUAGUAUGUAUUGUUGUCAUGGUCUUCUUCAGUCAAAAUAAAAAAGACAUUAAAAAAUUAAA